UUUGUGCGGCCGACUAUUGGCGCCGUGUCUUCUCAUUCUUGUGAGAUAUCUUACAGUUGCCUUUCGGGUGCUUGCGUGAUGUUACCCGACCUACGGGAAGUGGUGCUUCAUACAAAGUUGACUCGCGGUGGACGCCUUUGGGUGUGCUACUGCGGCCAUAUGGCGCUUGCGGCGUUUCCUCUUGGCCCGGCAUGUUUUUGUGCCUGGUGCUAUCAAGGCAGCCUCGCUCUCGCUGUUGGUUUUGGAUGUUGCUCAUGAUAUAGGCUCGUGGCCCUUUUUGGUUGCCUCGGCCUGACCCUAAUAACGCUCUCCGAAUUUGAGAACAACCGGAACAUGUGUUGCCUCUACCUCUCCACAGUUAGUGGUAGGAGUACGCAACAUACUGUGCCGAUCCUCAUACAAGUAGGACGAGCUAGGCCCGCUCAAUUGCGACAACUAGCUCGGUAGUUGGCUCUGCCUUGCCACGCAAGUGGACGGGAGGGCAACUACCGACGCUGG
RNAcentral lists this unclassified non-coding RNA (498 nucleotides) under Anthoxanthum tongo. RNAcentral's name for it is "partial external transcribed spacer". Lineage: Eukaryota; Viridiplantae; Streptophyta; Magnoliopsida; Poales; Poaceae. The record is from RNAcentral.